GCCGGGGUGGCGGAAUGGUAUACGCGGUGGAUUCAAAACCCACUUCCUCACGGAUUGAGAGUUCGAGUCUCUCCCUCGGCA
This 81-nucleotide transfer RNA is filed under the name Parcubacteria bacterium C7867-001. RNAcentral's name for it is "tRNA-Leu". It matches the Rfam family "tRNA". Rfam says of the family: Transfer RNA (tRNA) molecules are approximately 80 nucleotides in length. Their secondary structure includes four short double-helical elements and three loops (D, anti-codon, and T loops). The record is from RNAcentral. Lineage: Bacteria; Candidatus Parcubacteria.